GUUGUAUUUCCAUGGCGGACCCUCCGUCUUCUCCUGCUGCUACCGCAGACCACAAUUCUAGUAAACCCGAGCCAGAUAACCCGGAACUUCUGCCUAACCAACCCGAUCCAACAUCCAACUCUGCAACACCACCGCCACCUCCGUCACCACUGACACAGCAACAAACACCAAACCCUAACCAUACCCUGAAUCCGUAUCCUGCUUUAGUAUCAACUCCAGCACAUGCGUUUCCAUCUUACGCGCCGCCAAUUUCCGGCGCUUCUGUGCCUCCCCUGGCUCAGUCGUUCCGUCCGGUUCCGCAAUUCUCUCCGCUGCCGAAUUAUCAAAAUCCUAGCGUUGGAGUGCAGCCGCCUGGGGUGAGUGCACCGUCGGUUAUGGCAUCUGGUGCACCCGGAGCGGUUCCGGUGCCAACUCCGGUGAUGCAGUAUCAGGUUCCGCCCGGUCAGCAUCCAAAUCCGGCUUUGAGACCGUACGCGCCUUUGCCGAACGGGUAUGGGGUCAUUCCUGGAGCUGUUCCUCAAGGAACUAUGCAACCUCCUGGUGGGUUAUUCCUUCCCUUAUUCUUUCUCGCGUGCUCCAUGCCUAUCGAUUUCUUUUUAAUCUUAUUGUUUAAGAAGCGUUGGUUAUUAUUACUACUACUACCAUUAGUAUUGUUUGUUAUUGAGUGAGCAUAUGAACUGGUAGACAACUAGCUAUUAUACGCAUUGGUGAUCAAUUUCUACUUAUUAGUCGUGGAUGGUCGGCAUAGAUAAAUGGUGUUUAUUUUAUGCUUUGGUGGGAAGAAUAUUAAAGAGGGGGGUGUGGAAGAAUUUAGAAAAAGGGGCAUGGAUGACGGGAUGUUUUCUCCUACAGUGUCUUGAUUGAAUACGGUGAGAGAAAGGUUGGAAGGCUUCAUAUUGCUUAAGAGAGUAUCACCUUCUACAACUCCUGUUUUGGUAUGCACGUAUUUGCCUGGUUUCCUUAUUUGAUAGUAUUUUAAUAAACAGUGUAACUGAAAAUUCUUUUUUACUGCACUAAAAUCAGCAUCUGGAGUAUACAAAUUAAAGAAUACAGCAUAAUCCAUGUGUCCUUCUAAAUUAUAUCUGGUUAUGCCGUGUUUAUUUUAGUAGGCUACUUUCUGGUAGUUAUAAGGAUUCUUUCCCUUUCAUGGGUCUAUGAAUUGCCAGCAGCAGACCAUGUUAGCAACUGAGUGCUCCUUGGCUUGUAUUCUAAGGUAUCGCAAUUCUUCCAAUCACAGUCUAUAUCUCUUCCCCCCUCUCUCUUGCAUUUCUUUAUUUUGUUUUCAUGCUGUGCAUUUGACCACUAACGGUUGAAAUAAAUUAAAAUGGCUAAAGUAAAUUAGUCUAGUUGCAUAUCAUUAAAUCCUUUAAGCAUGAGAUGUUCCAAAUCUCAUGUUGCUCAAUGUCAAAAUUCUGCUAUUGGUGCAUGGGAUUGUUUGAAAAGGGCUACUAUUCUACUAUUUUGCAAGUGGAUGCAUAAGGUAAGCCCACUUCACAUAUCCAUGUUUAUGAGCUCGAUCCUUUUUUUUCCAUUAAUGUUCCUUCAGGUUAUCUGUUCAGCUGGUGUGCUUGAUGCGUAUGGUGCCAUCUCUAAUUUGCUUUUAUUGUGUGGUAACAGCAGUUAAUUAUUUUCGUUUUUUGAAUUAUUCUUACACAUAUAUGCAUAUUGGUGAGGACGCACUGCAUUUAGUUUGUGGACCUGUUCUGACAUGAGUGCAAAGAUUUUAUUUUUUUGUUUUUGCAGGAAUUCAACGAUAUCCUUCUCCAUACCAGGCUAUGGUUCGCCCCAUGUUUCCUCCUCGUCCACCUGGAGUGAUUGGUGUGCUUCCAGCAGGAUCCCGCCCUCUUGUUCCAGGGAUUCCUGCUGUUCGUCCAAUUAUCCCCCCCAUCAUUAGGCCAGCUGUUCCAUCUGUCACACCAGCAGAGAAACCACAAACUACUGUUUAUGUUGGCAAGAUAGAACCUACUGUGGAGAAUGAUUUUAUGCUUUCUCUUCUUCGGGUAAAUUAUUGACUUUAGUUGUCUGUUUAUACUUUUUUACCCCUGGUCCUUUUGUGUGUGCUUUGUGUAUUAUUGCUUAUCCAUGGUUGAAGUUUCGUAAUUGUGAAAUCUGAUUCUUUAAAUUUUAUGAAGUUGUGUGGACCUGUCAAGAGUUGGAAACGUGCUCAAGACCCCAGUGAUGGAACUCCUAAACGCUUUGGAUUUUGUGAAUUUGAAUCUGCUGAAGGAGUUCUCCGUGCAUUACGUCUACUGAGUAAAUUUAAUAUUGAUGGGCAAGAACUGGUGGUAUGUACUGAUAGCUUGAUAUUUUCUUGCAAUUGAUUUUGAGGUAAAUGGUGAUAAGUUCCAAAUUAGAUGCGUUUGGUGAUUGAAGCUUGCUGUUCUUUGAUAGACUGAAUGAGAUAAACUUCUCAACAAAAUCUUCAGCUUAUUGUUCUUUCUUUUUGUUUCCUCAUUUCUUUCCCUCUUUCCUUUUGAAACAGAUUUUAAAUUUUCAAUUUUUUGCCACGAAUGUGUUUUUUUUUUAUUUGAUUUUGAUGGGAUACGUAAGAUACAGAUGUAGAAAGUAGUACUUGACCAUAAAGUACAAAAUCUAUUCUGUCCCCGUGUAUAUUGACCAUUUUAAGAUUUUGAUUAUCCAAAGUAAAGGUAUUGUAGCAUAAGCAUUUAUAAUACGAGCAGUUAUCGAUUGCAAAUACAUUUGAAAAGGGUCCUAACUGAAAAAGGCAAUUUCUAUCCAAGCUUAUCUAGACUUAUGGCUGGUAGAGUUACCAGGUUUGGAUUCCUUGAAGCAUAAAAUUGGAACGCCUAAACUGUUGCACGAAAAGGGGAAAAGCAAUAGAGACAUGGGCCAGCCCAUCAAACUAUGUUUGCUUCAAGAAAAUAUGCUCUAGACUUAGACUUGUACAUGUUUUGGUCUUGCUAACUUCUAUGUGUCUUUAAUUAUUUGUUUGUGUUACUAUCAUAUGUGUGCAUCUGGGUUUCUUUCCCGAGAACUGUUUGUGAUCUUUGUUCCUGUGAUUGCAUGAUUUAAUAGCUAAAUGUUAAUCAAGCAACAAGAGAAUAUUUAGAGCGCUAUGUUGAAAAGAAAACUGAAAACUCCAAGAAUCUCAAAGAAAAUCAAGCUGCAAAGAUUGACAAGGAGGAUGGAACAGCCUUAGGUGUUGAAAAGAAUGAACCUUCCAAAUCCUCUGAGGAGGAUUCUAACAUUGACAAGGAGAAGGGGGACAAAGAAAGUCAUGAUCUUGCCAACUUUGGGAUUGUGACUGAUGAAGACAAGGAAGCUGACAAAGAAGCUUUGGAGAAACUUACUAGCAUGAUAGAAGAAAGGUUGAAGACUAAACCUUUGCCUCCACCACCUCCGCAAACACCAGCAGAUGGGUCUGGGAAUACAAACUCAGAACUGCCAGCUAAAUCGAGG
RNAcentral lists this long non-coding RNA (3420 nucleotides) under Manihot esculenta (cassava). RNAcentral's name for it is "long non-coding RNA (MESC_LNC007654)". The record is from RNAcentral. Lineage: Eukaryota; Viridiplantae; Streptophyta; Magnoliopsida; Malpighiales; Euphorbiaceae.